RNAcentral lists this ribosomal RNA (408 nucleotides) under uncultured bacterium. RNAcentral describes it as "partial 16S ribosomal RNA". It matches the Rfam family "Bacterial small subunit ribosomal RNA", at positions 28 to 526 of the family's 1533-position model. The record is from RNAcentral.
GACGACCGCUGGCGGCGUGCUUAACACAUGCAAUUCGAACGAAGUGGGAAACGGGUGAGUAAUACGUGGGUAACUUGCCAUCCUUUUUGGGAUAAGACUUGGAAACGGGGUAUAAAACGGAAUAAAGGGGGGUGGGGUCGCUGCCUAUCAGAUUGUUGGUGGGGUGAUGGCCUACCAUGGCGGGGACUGGUAGCCGGCCUGAGAGAGUGCUGUGCCCCACUUGGACUGAGAUCCGGCCCCGACUCCUCUGGGUGGCAGUAGUGGGGGAUAUUGCACACUGGGCGAAAGCCUGAUGCAGCGACGCCGCUUGGGGGAUGAAGGCUUUCGGGUUGUAAACCUCUUUCGCUAUCGACCGGGUAGGUGGAGAAGAAACGCCGUCUAACUACGUGCCAGCCGCCGCGGUAAUUC